CAAGACUCCAACGGGCACGGCAGCUCGAGGGCACUUAGUGGGGCGCCCCAAACCUCUGCCGCCCCCAAUUUCCUAGCGUGCCCCGCCUCUCUCCGUCCUCGCCUCCGGCCCGCCCCUUCCUCCCGGGCUAGCCCCCGCGGUGCCCGCCCAACUCCAGGACUACCGCGGAGAGACAGAAACCAAAACCCGGCACACACGGCCUCCUUGAAGGCCCAACUCUGAGCGCUUUCUGGGCAGCUCUUGACUCGAACUCCACUGCGGCCUUUCACUGAUGGCAGCCAUGUUAGUUGCAUCCGGGUAUGUCGAGGAGCCCCGACCAAAGUCUCCCGGAAGUGACGCGAUCGCGGAGGGAUUCGCGUUCGGCUGAGGUGAAGGGGCUCCGGAAGCGGGUGCGGUAGAGACGGUGACAGGAAAGGUUGGGUCUUAUUCACUACCGAGUUCUUGUAUCAAGUUUUAAGUGUCAUGUGUUGUGCUCGACAUCAGCAUUGCCGUGCCAUUUAAAUCCUUUCUUCCCACCAGGCCCAGGAGGAAGAAAUUUUAUCCUUUCCAUUAUGGAGACAUUAAGGGUCGCAGAGGGCAAGUGAAUUGUCUAAGGUCAUUCAGCUUGUAUUGGAGCUGGUCUGACCCCCUCAGUUUGGCUGCGGAGCCUGUCUUUUAAAUCUCCGUAAUGCCUACGUUUAGCAAAAUCCCAAUCUCUGGUGCUUGCAUCCUGGCAGGUCGCUUCGGCAAGGGCGUUCACCUGCAGCUCGGCAACAUUUGCCCACUGAAUGGUGCCAAGCCACCGUGGUCUUUGCGGUGGACACAGACCGAACUGUGUGCCGGGUCACCUAAACUAACCCAGUGCCCUGGGAUCUCACUUGGUCUCCUACUCCUUGAGUCUGCACAUGAAGGGUUCUUGCUGACCUCGACCGCAGGUUAACUGUGGGGAUUGGGCACUGACUGUUGGAGCUGGGAAACAUUUUAACUCCUGUCGGGCACUUGUAAAGUCAAGACUGUUCCGACCAUUCGAGGCCGGUCAUCAUCGUCCAGUCGGUCUUGAUAAAGGACUGACAGCUAUUAUUUUGGGUUUUCCACCAAAUCAGUUGUUUCUCUUGGUUUCCAUUUCUUUAGAAUAUGACUGAGAACCAGUACUUUGAUCUUAUGUCAACAUUAACUAUAACCAGCUUUCAAAUACUGAAGUGUGAAUAGCCAGUGAGGUCUUUUUUUCUUUUUGCUGUGUUUUGUUUUGUUUUCUUUUUCUUUUUCUUUUACAGAGAGGCCACCAGGUGGGGAAAUAGCCACACACACCCCAACACCUCCUUAGAAUGGGAACUCUGAGACCCCUGGGUGUCAAAGGUCCCAGGGGCACCGUGUCCUCAGGGAAGGACAGAGCCCAGUGCUGGAUAUCAUGGGAGCGAGGCAAUAUUUUUGUAAAAAUAAAUUAUGUAUAGAAAAAAGCACUAAACAAAUACAUCAGAAUUAAGAAUGAUAAUAUUUGAAGAGUGGCCAUUUAAUUCUUUUCUUCUCUUUUUAUUUUUUAUAUCUGCUACAAUAUCUUUUUCAUAUAGGGAAAUAAACAAAUUGACCGCAGCAAAUCGUUUUUAAUUGCUUGCGAUAAUGAAGACAAAGGCAUAUUGCCAGAUUUUGACCAAUGACAGUCCUUGACACAAAUUACAGGAAUUCUGUUAGGAAAAGCAUUGGUUUUUGUCAGGAUGUUACCAAAAUACAGUUUUGGUAUUGAUGUUUUUCACACACCUUUGUAUAAAAAUAUCCUACAAUCAAAGUUUUUCUUCUAAGAGAAAGAGAAGGAUUUGGGGCACUUGAAAUUCUGGAGAACAAGUAUAAAAAGCUAUUUUUAUUCUGCUUUCUUUGGGGUACAGCUUUAAGCUAUUUAUCAGGUUUAGACUGUGCAAAAUAAAGGUUUCAUUCUCUAUUUCUGUAUUCUGCUUCCCACUGUUGCUUUUUAGUGACCUCUCAAGGAGUGGCACAGAAAUAACAGUGAAAACAUAGAAGAGAAGAAUGAGAAGGGAUUGGGGAGGAAGAAAAUAUAAAAUGUAGGGGAAUAAAGGAAAAUGCUGAUAUUGGGGGAUAUUGGGGUUGAGGUUGCUUUGUAGUUCCAAGUUAGCAUGUAACAACCUUUUUAUCUAAGUCUUGGCACAAGACCUGUUGCCCACUCAAAUAGAUUUGCAUAUACAAUGUUCCCACUCACACAUUGAGCACACACUAUGAUAAUUCUUACCAAAAUUUCAGCAUUAUACUCCUACAAAUUAGACAUAUAUUUUGACAAAACCUAGAGUGUUCUGAACAACAAAAAAAAGUAAAAUGCCAUAGAUUCCCCUGGGGUUCCCUCUUACCAUAUCAUUCGUUCAUCCUGUAAUUAGCGUAACUGGAUACUGGAGUGGGAGUGUUGCCUGCAGCAUUGUAAUACAACAACUACGAAACAUCAAGUGAGGUCCUGACAAGAUGCAUGUUUUCAGAGGAAGUGUCUUUUUAAAAAAAAUUUUAAUGUUUAUUUUUGAGAGAGAGGGAAAGAGACAGAGUGUGAGUAGGGGAGGGCAGAGAGAGAGAGGGAGACACGGAAUCCAAGGCAGGCUCCAGGCUCUGAGCUGUCAGCACAGAGCUCAAUGUAGGGCUCAAACCCACGAACCACAAGAUCAUGACCUGAGCCGAAGUCAGAUGCUUAACUGAAUGAGCCACCCAGGCACCUCUCAAAGGAAAUAUCUUUAUGUUAGUCUGGGCCCUCGGAAAAACAGUUAAGAUGAGAUUAAGUGCACAAGAAUUUGUUAGAGGAAACAGUUGUGAAAGAGAAAGGAGAGAAGGCUGAGAGAGCCAUCAGACUGGUGCAAGUCUGAAACUCUGUGAAGGAGGUCGGACGAGGUUGGUGGAAGUGUCUCAGGCUGCUGAACAGUCUAAGGAAGAUUUGGCAAGGCUGUUGGGAAUGCUCAAGCUAAAACUGCCAUCAGAGGAGUCCUCCUAGGAAGGAGUCUGCCUUAUUAUCUAUGCUGCAUUCAGUCACUGGCUGGAGCAGCCCAUGGAAAGCUUGCUCUUUGGUGCAAAUGUGGCAGAAGAUUUCAGAGGGUAGCCUCUGGGGCCCUUGGUCAGUUUUGCUCCCUGUAUUUGGUAACCACAGUCCAAAAACUGGCUUUUCAAUUAUUGGAGAUUGUCACCAAUUUCAAGGCUUAGAAUAUUAUAAAAGAGGUGAUUUCAUGAGGAGUUUUGGAGAGGGCCAUUGUUAUGCUUCCUCACUCCCCGUCAAGUCUACCGAGUGGGGCUCCAAAGGCACUACUUAGGGAACUUGAUAUGUCUCCCUUGGGUUUUGAGAAGUACAGUAGUGCCUGACUCACAUCUGAGAAUCCUAAGGUAGGAGAAAUGGGUCAGUGAGAAGUUUGGGCAGAGGAAUAAAGAAGAGUUGCUAUGUUGGGAUCAGCUGUCACUCCCAUAGUUUGUCAGGGCAAAUGAUGUUCGAGUGUUUCUCGUGCACCAAAUGUGUACCACAUGUGGGAAUGAGAGAGCUGGCCUGGGGCUCUUUUGACUCUUGCCCAAGAGGACUUCCUAGAAGAGAAAUGGGACUCCAACUGAGGGAGUUUAUGUGGUGGGGAUUAUCAGAAAGUCUGGGGCUAUAGAAGGAGCAGAAUGGGGGAUAUUUCCAUUGCCCAUCUAGGAUGGCCAACUUGUCUAAGUUUGCCUGGAACUCUCCAUGCUUUAGUACCAAAAGUCCUGAGUCUCAGGAAUCCCUCGGUCCCAGGCAACUCAGGAUGGUUGGUCAUUCUGCACGUCACAGGAGUUGCAGUCAGAAGGCAUCCCAGCACGGAACCUCCAAAACCCUCCAAAUCACCCAUAAGAGUAAGAGGUAAGUUGAAAUUUCAGGCAGGUCCCGAAUAUGAGAAGCCAGCUUAUGAUUGUCAGUAUUGAAGUGGAUAUUGUCAGAGGGUAAUUGGAAAAUGAUGCUGAAGCAGAACCUUCUUUUCCACACCUUCCCUUUGGAGUGUGUAUAGGCUGCUCAGGCUGCCAUAACAAAAUACCACAGACUGGGGCGGCUUAUACUAUAAAACUAUUUCCUCACAGUUCUAGUGGCUGGAAGUCCAAGGUCAAGGUUCUGGGCAAUUCAGUUUUUGGUGAGAACUCCCUUCCUAGCUUGCCGAUGGCCACCUUUUUGCUAUGUCCUCACAUGACCUUUCCUCAGUGCCUGUGUGAGAAGGGAGGGAAUGGGAGGUAUUUUUGGUGUUUCUUUUUAUAAAGACACUAAUUUUAUAGGAUCAGGGCCCCACCCUUAUCUUAUUUAACCUUAAGUCUUCAGAGGCCUCAUCUCCAAAUACAGCAACAUUUGGGGUUAGGGCAUCAACAUAUGAAUUUUAAGAGAACAAACAUUCAGUAUAUACCAGUGUGACUCUAUAACACAGAGAUACUUUGGGGGAGGGUCAUGAAAAUAUUAGGCCUGCUUCAUGCCUCAUACCUUUAUGGAGAAGAUAUGCUAUUGUGACUGUAGCCCUGUGUCUUUGCAAGAACAAAAGUAAGCAUAUUAUAUUUAGAGCUCGUUUGUAACACUUUUUUAGAGCUCUUCAGACAUUAUUCUAAUCAUGUCAAGGUAAAGCUGAACCCCUCCAGGGCCUUUUUUUUUUUUUUUUUUUCCUGUCCUGUAGAGCAGAGGAAUCCUUUUUAGGAAGGAUUCCUAAAAUCCUUUUAGGAAGCAGAGCUAGUUUUUAACUCUUCAAGGCUUUAGUAGUUGGACCUAGGUUCAGCCGUGAGCACAGAGUAAUAGAAAGCACCAAAAUAAAAGUCAUUAUGUUUUUAAUAUGACAAGUUUAUUUUUUUCUUUUAAGAAAUCUGGUGAAAUUAUCUUGGGAUUAGUAUGGUGAUUCAUGGGGUGAGGAUUUCAGGCUCCUCCUACCUUAUUGCCCCACUGUGUGUGACUUCCAUUUUUCAAAGUAAUUUCCUGGUCCAAGAUGGCUGCAAGAGCUCCAGUCAUUCUAGUGAACAGGAAGGAUAGAGACCUACAAAGAACGGCACACCUCUUCCAUUUAAGGACAGUUCCCAAAAAUUGAACACAAGCUUCUACAAGAGAAGCUGGAAAUAGUAAUACUUUUUUUCCUAGUGGGUCAAUACCCAGCCAAAAGUUAUGAGAUUUUAUUACUCUAGAACAGAGAUCAACAAACUAUGGCCCAUGGGCCAGUCAUGUGUUUUUAUAAAUAAAAUUUUAUUGAAAUACAACCUUGGCAAUUUUACCUAUUGUCUAUGGAUACAUGUUUUUGUUUGUUUGUUUGUUUGUUUUUUUGUUUAAGCACUCUUUAUAUUUUUAAAUUUCAAUUCCAGGGUAGGUAACAUACAGUGUUAUAUUAGUUUCAGGUGUAUAAUACAGUGAUUCAGAAAUUCAAUAUAUUACUCAUUGCUCAUCAAAAUAAGUGUACUCUUAAUACCUUUCACCUUUCACCCACCCCUUCACCAACCUCCCUUCUGGUAACCAUCAGUUUGUUCUGUAGUUAAGAGUCUGUUUCUUGGUUUGCCUCUCUCUUCUGCUACCAUCCCUCUCAAGCAUGAUCAUUUUUGUUUUGUUUCCUAAAUUCCACAUGUGAGUAAAAUCAUAUGGUAUUUGUCUUUCUCUGACUGACUUAUUUUGCUUAGCAUUAUACUCUGUCUCUAUUCGUGUCAUUGCAGAUGUCAAGAUUUCAUUCUUUCUUAUGGCUGAGUAAUAUUUCACUGUGUGUGUGUGUGUGUGUGUGUGUGUGUGUGUGUGUGUGUAUCUAUCUUCCUUCUCCAUUCAUCAGUUGGUGGACACUUGGGCUGCUUCCAUAUCUUGGCUAUUAUAAAUAAUGCUGCUAUAAAAAUAGGGAUGCAUGUAUCCUUUUGAAUUAGUGUUCUUACAUUCUUCGGGUAAAUACCCAGUAGUGCAGUAAGGUGAUUGUUGGAUCAUAAGCUACUUCUAUUUUUAACUUUUUGGGGAGCCUCCAUACUGUUUUUCAGAGUGGCUGCACCAGUUUGCAUUCCCACCAACAGCACAUGAGUGUUCCUUUUUCUCCACACUCUUGCCAACACCUGUUGGUUCUUGUGUUGUUGAUUUCAGCCAUUCUGACAGGUAUGAGCUGAUAUCCCAUUGUAGUUUUGAUUUGCAUUUCCCUAGUGAUAAGUGAUGAUGAACCUCUUUUCAUAUGUCUGUUGACCAUCUGGAUAUCUUCUUUGGAGAAAUGUCAGUUCAUGUCUUCUGCCCAUUUUUUAAUUGGAUGGUUUGUUUUUGGGGUGUUGAGUUUUAUAAAUUCUUUAUAUAUUUUGUAUGGAUACGUUUUUAAAAAACAGCCUUAUUGAUAUAUAAUUCACAUGCUAUAAAAUUCAGUCAUUUAAUCUGUACAAUUAAUUGGCUUUUAGUAUCUUCACAGAAUCAUGCAUCUAGCACCCAAAUCAAUUUAGAACAUUUUUAUUGCCAUGAAAAGAAACGCCACACCAUUUAGCUAUUGUCUUUGAAUUUCCCAUUUCUUCCCCCCCACCCAAGACCUAGGCAACUAGUAACAACUUUGUGUCUCUACAGAUUUACCUCUUCUAGACUUUUCAUAUCAAUGGAAUCCUACAAUAUGUGGUCCUUUGUGCCUGGCUUCUUUGACUUUGUAUAAUGUUUUCAAAGUUAUUCUAUUUGUAGCAUAUAUUAGUACUUCAUCAGUACUUCAUUUCUUUUCAUGGCCAAAUAACAUUCCAUUGUAUGGCUAUACCCGUUAUUGUUUAUCCGUUCAUCAGUUGAUGGACAUUUGAGUCGCUUUGAAGAGGCAAUAAUCCUUUAUUCUGUUAAGACUGAAAUAAAACAAACCAGCAGGUAGUCUACUCCAAUAUAUUAACAAUUUUAAAACAUUACCUUAUGGAUUUUUAUGGGACUGACUGGGCAAAAAUAUUCUGUAAAAAUAUUGACGAUCCAAAUAACUGUGAUUAAGAUUCAACCAAGGUUUGUGAGAAAUGGUGCAGUACUACAACUAUUGCCAGUCCCUAUUCAGAGUUACAUACAGCUCCCAAAUUGUUUGUGGAAGACUUCUCAACAAUGCUUAAAGAUAAGCUGUUGCCUGUAGAUUAUGUGAACAUAAAGACAUGAGUGUUCUAGAAGACAGAGUCAGUUACCCUAAUGACAAUGUAAAAGUUUUCACCAUGUAUGUCCAACGCUGGAAUCUUACAUCAUUUACAUUAUUAUAAAUGUAUUCUGUUGAGGCGAGAGAAUUCAGAGCCCCUGUCUAAAUGUCAUGUAUGUGCUUUUUUACAAACUGUCCCCAUUACUACUUCCUCCUUCACCUAGGACAAACUACAGGAAAGUGCUCUACAGAUGGUUCUAAGAAGUCUUCGAUGAAGCUAAAGAGAGCAGAUUUCUCUAGUGUGUCGCCACCAUCACCCUCUGGAGACUUGGGAAGCAGAAGGACAGCAGUGAGACAGAGUGAAGCUGACAUGCAUAGAGAAGCUGGGGUAAGAGACCGAUGGAAAGAGAUCUGAAAAUUUUUAUAUCUUUGUUUCUGGGAGUUUCUGAGACCCAGUAUCCUUUCUGCCCUUUCAGUAGUUGUGUGUUCAAGUUUUCCUUUCAUUACAAAGGAUAUCAGACCUUAAUAUUUUUCUAAUAAAUCUAUCUUUUUCAGACCA
Molecule: long non-coding RNA, 7578 nt
Organism: Neofelis nebulosa (Clouded leopard)
Lineage: Eukaryota; Metazoa; Chordata; Mammalia; Carnivora; Felidae
Exons: 2
Source: RefSeq, a predicted model, not a curated record